RNAcentral lists this ribosomal RNA (450 nucleotides) under uncultured bacterium. RNAcentral's name for it is "partial 16S ribosomal RNA". It matches the Rfam family "Bacterial small subunit ribosomal RNA", at positions 354 to 796 of the family's 1533-position model. The record is from RNAcentral.
GUGGGGAAUUUUGGACAAUGGGCGAAAGCCUGAUCCAGCCAUGCCGCGUGCAGGAUGAAGGCCUUCGGGUUGUAAACUGCUUUUGUACGGAACGAAAAGACUCCUUCUAAUAAAGGGGGUCCAUGACGGUACCGUAAGAAUAAGCACCGGCUAACUACGUGCCAGCAGCCGCGGUAAUACGUAGGGUGCAAGCGUUAAUCGGAAUUACUGGGCGUAAAGCGUGCGCAGGCGGUUAUAUAAGACAGAUGUGAAAUCCCCGGGCUAAACCUGGGAACUGCAUUUGUGACUGUAUAGCUAGAGUACGGUAGAGGGGGAUGGAAUUCCGCGUGUAGCAGUGAAAUGCGUAGAUAUGCGGAGGAACACCGAUGGCGAAGGCAAUCCCCUGGACCUGUACUGACGCUCAUGCACGAAAGCGUGGGGAGCAAACAGGAUUAGAUACCCUUGUAGUCC